AGUGAACGCUGGCGGUAGGCCUAACACACGCAAGUCGAACGGCAGCACAGUAAGAGCUUGCUCUUACGGGUGGCGAGUGGCGGACGGGUGAGGAAUACAUCGGAAUCUACUUUUUCGUGGGGGAUAACGUAGGGAAACUUACGCUAAUACCGCAUACGACCUACGGGUGAAAGCAGGGGAUCUUCGGACCUUGCGCGAUUGAAUGAGCCGAUGUCGGAUUAGCUAGUUGGCGGGGUAAAGGCCCACCAAGGCGACGAUCCGUAGCUGGUCUGAGAGGAUGAUCGGCCACACUGGAAGUGAGACACGGUCCAGAGUCCUACGGGAGGCAGCAGUGGGGAAUAUUGGACAAUGGGCGCAAGCCUGAUCCAGCCAUACCGCGUGGGUGAAGAAGGCCUUCGGGUUGUAAAGCCCUUUUGUUGGGAAAGAAAAGCAGCAGGUUAAUACCCCGCUGUUCUGACGGUACCCAAAGAAUAGGCACCGGCUAACUUCGU
Molecule: ribosomal RNA, 491 nt
Filed under: uncultured bacterium
Lineage: Bacteria
Description: partial 16S ribosomal RNA
Rfam family: Bacterial small subunit ribosomal RNA
Source: RNAcentral